Molecule: long non-coding RNA, 1379 nt
Organism: Triticum dicoccoides
Lineage: Eukaryota; Viridiplantae; Streptophyta; Magnoliopsida; Poales; Poaceae
Exons: 5
Source: RefSeq, a predicted model, not a curated record
UUCUUCUCUCCUUCUAUCAAGCUAAGGUACGCAAUUUGCGUACUCUCGAAAAAAAAAACAAUCUGGUCACUUCCCCACGCCCCCUCGCAUCCGUUCCCCAUUCUCCCAUGGUCUCCCCCUGCUCUUCCUCCCCUUAAUGUCGAAUCUGGCCGCGGAAGUGGUCGUCGGAGGCGGGCGCGGAGGCGUGGGACUCGCACACCCCUGCUCUUCCCUACUCCUUCAUCGAAUCCGGUCGCCGAAGUGACCGAGGCGGUGCUCGAGCUCGGCAUGCUCGCCGGGGAUGCCGGGCUCCUCCCUCCUCCUGAUGUUGUCGCCGUCGCCGCCGCCGCCAUGAGCCUCUCCACCCUCUCCCGCGCUCGUCCCAGUACAGGGUUAUCUGCUCGGGGGCCAUGGCGUGUUCCGCGCGGUGCUGCCUUCGCCGCCGCCGCCGCCCGGCGAUGUGGGCGCUGCCGCGCUGGGUUGUGUCUCGUGCGUCGCUGCCUGACUUCCGGUCUGGGGAGACGGGCUUCAUUGGCCAACAAAUAGGGACGGGAAGGUCCGAGACUGGAGGUCCCUGCUCGCAAACUCGCAAUCCCGGAGGCUAUUCUACUACCAGUCGAAAAAGAAUAUCGCAAGAAGGUUAAUUAACCUGGUUCAAUGGUUUUUUCUGAUGUUGUGGAAGUGAUAUGUUGCUGCGAUGAUCAAUGAUUCCGCGAUGGCUGUUUCGGCGCUGAAACAAAGCCUACUUACUCACCUAGCUUACCUGGAUUCAAAGUGUUGACCAGGAUUCAUGGAAGGACGUCCGAUUUAGGUAAGGUUGACAAAGGAGCAUGCAUUUGCGGAACAGUUCGUCCGCGCCGACAUCGUCGGGAGAGCAGUGUCUGGUGAUGGCGCAAUACAGUCUGGGCGGAGGCGUCUUCUAGCCUAACGAAGCCUUGGCGGCAGUGGCGUGUAAAAGCCUUUUGAAAUUCAGAUCAGAGAAGAGCAUGCACCUAUGUUGGCGAGGAGGAGCUCCUUGUCGCUGUCGUGGGAGGGCGCCCGUGCGGCCGCACCUGUGUUGGGGAACAGCGCGUCGUCGUGGCCGUCGUCGACUGACUUGGCGAGCUCGUUGUCGCGGCCGUCCUUGGGUGCCUCGGCGGCUGCGCAGGGCAGCGACGGGGAUUGAUUCCCGCUAAUUUAGCUCCGUGUAAAUUGGACUGGACGUGUGUUGUUACCUUGUUUUUUUUUCUUUUUUGAGAAAAAGGACGUGGGUUGUAGACUCUUGCGGGCGUGGGUUGUUUGUGAGGGCGUGGACGGCAGAGUUUUCGUCCGCCUCCUGCUGAAGUUUUCUUGUUUAAUAGUAGUGUAGAUGUGACUAUAAUCAACGUCCUUGUUGCUCUCGCUGUCUAGUAAGACGGUAG